AUCAUGUAUAUGUUCAGGGAUAUACGGCAUGAUAUUGUAAGAAACUAAAAGUCCACACAGGAUGCUGUGUUACCCGUUUUUUUCCUACAAAAAGGCUGGGAAACGUUUUUCAAAUGGAUUUGCUUUGAGACAAUUUCAAAGGAUAUCAAAUAUUAAUCUGUUUGGAGCACAAUUCUAAAUGUAACAAUUUAUGCAUGUUUGUGUAAGCGCAAUUAAUUGCACCAAUUACGUAAACAAACCUGAAUUGAGAAAUAGGAUUGAAAAGAAAUAGUAAACUUCAUAGACUUAAACAUAUCCAAAAGGUAAUACACUUCAACAAUGUACACGGGAAUGAUAUUUUUUCAUAUGCAUGUAUAACCAACCACAUGUAUUGAUAUGUACAAUGUACUAUAGAAAAUGUUUUAUCAUCACGUUUUAGUAUGGGUUAAGCAUAUUUUAUUGUUCAUUCAACAUUUUAUUUGACC
This 464-nucleotide long non-coding RNA is filed under the name Mytilus galloprovincialis (Mediterranean mussel). Lineage: Eukaryota; Metazoa; Mollusca; Bivalvia; Mytilida; Mytilidae. The record is from RNAcentral.